CAGGGAGCAUGAGAAGGCAAAGUCCCCAACACUUAAAACAGCUAUUCAACAGAAAUUGAUAAACCAAGGCAAUGCAUGGCAAAGGAAAACAAGGAGCAGCGCUGAUGAGAAGCUCUGCUGUGGACAUGGUCUCACUUCCUCUUCUCUUUUCCUGUCCUGUUUUAGGCCCAAGGCAUGAUUUGCUCCUUCCAGAUCUAAGCGUUGACUCCUUCGAACCUCCCUUGAGAUUUCACUCAGAAUAGUGUGUGAGGCAGAGCCAUUCUUCCUGCGACACAUCAGAAAAGAGGAUCACUGCUCAGCAGAAACUUCAGGAUGGUUCACACUGGCCCUACAGGACUCUUCAGCCUCACUGGGCCAGCAGUAAUACAGAGACGUUCCUGGGACCAACUGCGGAAUGCAAGACUCAGCCUGGAACUGUCACUGUCACUUGCACCCACCUUCUGUUCAUUACAGUAAGCCACAAAACAUCCAGUCUUGCAUCGCUGGGCAGGAAAAACCAAUUCCAAGAAACUAGUGGCCAAUACAGCAGAGUAACAGGGCAAAGUGUAUGGACUCUGAUAGAGGGAAGGCUGGAAGAAUUUCAAAAAAAUAUUGCAAUCUUUAACAUUUAGCACCUCUUCUUAAUUUCCUUUUGUUAAAAAAAAAAAAAACAAACAAUCACAGGAGCCAGCAAUCCUCCUAAUAGCCUCUAAGUAUGACAGGGGAGAUGGCAGAUAGGUCAUCACACCCUUUGUUCUUCACGAGGUUACCAGGUCAUAACCACAAUAUCACAUUUUGUGCUGUGCUGUUCCCAUGACUAUGUUUGCCUAUGGCCUGGUUAUCACCCAUAUUGUUCUUUGUUCUUUGAGCACUGCCUGGUAAAUCUGACAUUGCUGGUAUGAUUGGUCAUAUGACACUGAGGAUGUGAAUGCUUACUGUCUUUUAUGAUUACAAAACUUCAUGGAUAACAUGUGUUCCAGAUUGGCUAAGGAAAUUAGGAUAUCUUCACAGACACUUGGAGGACAACAGAGAGGAGGAUAGGUAAGCUCUCAUAGGCCCAAGAAUCUGCUGCUUAUUUGGGAUGCAACACAGGUGUGGGUCGAUAUCAUCUUGUUCUCUAAGUCUCAUCCUCACAUUAAAGAUAAGCAAACC
Long non-coding RNA from Fukomys damarensis (Damara mole-rat), 1131 nucleotides. Lineage: Eukaryota; Metazoa; Chordata; Mammalia; Rodentia; Bathyergidae. The record is from Ensembl.